UGGGGAAUUGUUCGCAAUGGGCGCAAGCCUGACGACGCAACGCCGCGUGGAGGAUGAAGGUCUUCGGAUUGUAAACUCCUGUUGAUCGGGACGAACAACCAUCGGGAUAACACCCCGGAGGUCUGACGGUACCGAUUGAGGAAGCCCCGGCUAACUCUGUGCCAGCAGCCGCGGUAAUACAGAGGGGGCAAGCGUUGUUCGGAAUUACUGGGCGUAAAGGGCGAGUAGGCGGCCGCCUAAGUCAGACGUGAAAUCCCUCGGCUCAACCGGGGAACUGCGUCUGAUACUGGGUGGCUUGAAUCCGGGAGAGGGAUGCGGAAUUCCAGGUGUAGCGGUGAAAUGCGUAGAUAUCUGGAGGAACACCGGUGGCGAAGGCGGCAUCCUGGACCGGCAUUGACGCUGAGUUCGCGAAAGCCAGGGGAGCAAACGG
RNAcentral lists this ribosomal RNA (430 nucleotides) under uncultured bacterium. RNAcentral describes it as "bacterial SSU rRNA". It matches the Rfam family "Bacterial small subunit ribosomal RNA", at positions 355 to 775 of the family's 1533-position model. The record is from RNAcentral.